Molecule: small nucleolar RNA, 132 nt
Organism: Onychomys torridus (southern grasshopper mouse)
Lineage: Eukaryota; Metazoa; Chordata; Mammalia; Rodentia; Cricetidae
Product: small nucleolar RNA U109
Exons: 1
Source: RefSeq, a predicted model, not a curated record
AUGUCGGAUGGGCGCUCUGCUCCUCUCUAAAGAGCAUGGGUUUAUCUACACCCUACGACAUGAAUGAAAUGAGUUUCCAGGGCUGCCAACUCUCUGGUUAGGGUUCUGCAGUAGCAUGUUUCUUCCACAAUA